Molecule: ribosomal RNA, 630 nt
Filed under: uncultured bacterium
Lineage: Bacteria
Description: bacterial SSU rRNA
Rfam family: Bacterial small subunit ribosomal RNA
Source: RNAcentral
ACGAGGUAGAUAAAGGAAAGUCUUCGGACUGGAAUUUAUUUACCGAGUGGCGGACGGGUGAGUAACGCGUGGGUAACCUGCCUCAUACAGGGGGAUAACAGUCAGAAAUGGCUGCUAAUACCGCAUAAGCGCACAGUGUCACAUGACACGGUGUGAAAAACUCCGGUGGUAUGAGAUGGACCCGCGUCUGAUUAGCUAGUUGGUAAGGUAACGGCUUACCAAGGCGACGAUCAGUAGCCGACCUGAGAGGGUGACCGGCCACAUUGGGACUGAGACACGGCCCAAACUCCUACGGGAGGCAGCAGUGGGGAAUAUUGCACAAUGGGGGAAACCCUGAUGCAGCGACGCCGCGUGAGUGAUGAAGUAUUUCGGUAUGUAAAGCUCUAUCAGCAAGGAAGAAAAAAGACGGUACUUGACUAAGAAGCCCCGGCUAACUACGUGCCAGCAGCCGCGGUAAUACGUAGGGGGCAAGCGUUAUCCGGAUUUACUGGGUGUAAAGGGAGCGUAGACGGCAUGGCAAGUCAGAAGUGAAAGCCCGGGGCUCAACCCCGUGGACUGCUUUUGAAACUGCUAAGCUAGAGUGCAGGAGAGGUAAGUGGAAUUCCUAGCGUAGCGGUGAAAUGCGUAGAU